GUGGCGAACGGGUGAGUAACACGUGAGUAACCUGCCCCUGACUCUGGGAUAAGCGUUGGAAACGACGUCUAAUACUGGAUAUGAUCGCCGGCCGCAUGGUCUGGUGGUGGAAAGAUUUUUUGGUUGGGGAUGGACUCGCGGCCUAUCAGCUUGUUGGUGAGGUAAUGGCUCACCAAGGCGACGACGGGUAGCCGGCCUGAGAGGGUGACCGGCCACACUGGGACUGAGACACGGCCCAGACUCCUACGGGAGGCAGCAGUGGGGAAUAUUGCACAAUGGGCGAAAGCCUGAUGCAGCAACGCCGCGUGAGGGAUGACGGCCUUCGGGUUGUAAACCUCUUUUAGUAGGGAAGAAGCGAAAGUGACGGUACCUGCAGAAAAAGCMCCGGCUAACUACGUGCCAGCAGCCGCGGUAAUACGUAGGGUGCAAGCGUUGUCCGGAAUUAUUGGGCGUAAAGAGCUCGUAGGCGGUUUGUCGCGUCUGCUGUGAAAUCCCGAGGCUCAACCUCGGGCUUGCAGUGGGUACGGGCAGACUAGAGUGCGGUAGGGGAGAUUGGAAUUCCUGGUGUAGCGGUGGAAUGCGCAGAUAUAGGAGGAACACCGAUGGCGAAGGCAGAUCUCUGGGCCGUAACUGACGCUGAGGAGCGAAAGCAUGGGGAGCGAACAGGAUUAGAUACCCUGGUA
This 683-nucleotide ribosomal RNA is filed under the name Curtobacterium sp. RNAcentral's name for it is "bacterial SSU rRNA". It matches the Rfam family "Bacterial small subunit ribosomal RNA", at positions 95 to 792 of the family's 1533-position model. Lineage: Bacteria; Bacillati; Actinomycetota; Actinomycetes; Micrococcales; Microbacteriaceae. The record is from RNAcentral.